CCUACGGGUGGCUGCAGUGAGGAAUAUUGGUCAAUGGACGAGAGUCUGAACCAGCCAAGUAGCGUGAAGGAUGACUGCCCUAUGGGUUGUAAACUUCUUUUAUAUGGGAAUAAAACGUUCCACGUGUGGGAUUUUGUAUGUACCAUAUGCAUAAGGAUCGGCUAACUCCGUGCCAGCAGCCGCGGUAAUACGGAGUAUCCGAGCGUUAUCCGGAUUUAUUGGGUUUAAAGGGAGCGUAGGUGGAUUGUUAAGUCAGUUGUGAAAGUUUGCGGCUCAACCGUAAAAUUGCAGUUGAAACUGGCAGUCUUGAGUACAGUAGAGGUGGGCGGAAGUCGUGGUGUAGCGGUGAAAUGCGUAGAUAUCACGAAGAACUCCGAUUGCGAAGGCAGUUCACUGGACUGCAACUGACACUGAGGCUCGAAAGUGUGGGUAUCAAACAGGAUUAGAUACCCCUGUAGUC
RNAcentral lists this ribosomal RNA (460 nucleotides) under uncultured bacterium. Its description in RNAcentral is "partial 16S ribosomal RNA". It matches the Rfam family "Bacterial small subunit ribosomal RNA", at positions 338 to 795 of the family's 1533-position model. The record is from RNAcentral.